AUAAUAGGUUGAUUUGCCCCCUGGAAACGCCAGUGAUACCCUUACAAAAGUUGAGUUCUAGAACCGUUUCUGUCCAGGAUCCGCUGACUGGAUGUUGUUUUUCUUGAUACAGAAAAUAAAUAAAAGAACACAGCUUUUGACUAUGCGUACUAUAAAAAGAUUUGGAAAGACUUCGUGAUCACAGCAAUGAUCCUUAACAGACAGAUCCGCUUAACAAGAAUGAUAA
Molecule: non-coding RNA, 226 nt
Organism: Cinara cedri
Lineage: Eukaryota; Metazoa; Arthropoda; Insecta; Hemiptera; Aphididae
Source: the annotation of a GenBank genome assembly